UACGUAGGGGGCAAGCGUUGUCCGGAAUUAUUGGGCGUAAAGAGCUCGUAGGCGGCCUGUUGCGUCCGCUGUGAAAACCCGGGGCUUAACCCCGGGCUUGCAGUGGAUACGGGCAGGCUGGAGGCAGGCAGGGGAGAACGGAAUUCCCGGUGUAGCGGUGAAAUGCGCAGAUAUCGGGAGGAACACCGGUGGCGAAGGCGGUUCUCUGGAACGCAACUGACGCUGAGACGCGAAAGCGUGGGGAGCAAACAGG
This 253-nucleotide ribosomal RNA is filed under the name uncultured bacterium. RNAcentral describes it as "partial 16S ribosomal RNA". It matches the Rfam family "Bacterial small subunit ribosomal RNA", at positions 524 to 776 of the family's 1533-position model. The record is from RNAcentral.